CAUAUAUAUGUAUAUACAUUAAUUUUUUUUUAUUUUUUUUACUAUAUAUUUUGAUAGUAAUGAUACGAAUGUAAAAGUGGGCAUAUUUUGAUAAUUAAAAUGAAAUAUGUGUAAAUUAUAAUAAAUUCCAUUAAAUGGGCAUUAUGGGAAUUAUAUAUUAUAAGAUGCAUACAUAUAUAUAUCUAUAAACUUAUUAUGGUUUUAAAAGUAAAAGGAUUAUAUGUAUAAGGAUAAGAAAUGUUAAAUAAAUUAAAAAGUAUAAAAUUGUAUUUUUAUAGAUAGAUUUAUAAUCUAAGAAUAAUAUGUGAACGAAUUAGAUAAUAUAAUAGGGUUGAUUGAAAGAACCUAGAAAAAAUAAGAAAACACAGAUUUAAUAUUAUAGAUGAUAGAGUUAUAUUGAUUUUACUAGAAGAAAUAAAGAUUUUAUUGAAGUAAAUUAAAAUAAAAAAGAAUGAAUUGUAUUAAGUUAAAAACAAUUGUAUCUAACAAUAAAAACAUAGCUCUAAAGAAAAAUUACUUUAAGAGUCUUUAAAUCUUAAAUAUAAAUUACACCUUAUAACAUUUGAUGAAGAUCAAAAAAACAAUAUGAUGUAUUUAAAAUAUAUUAUUAUCUUGAAGAAGAUUUCAGAAAAAACAAAAAUAACCUUUUAAGUUAGCACUCAGAAGCUUAAAAGAAAAGAAUAAGAUAAUAUUAUAAUAUUAUAAUACCUUAAAAUAACUAUAAAAAUGAGAUUUCUUUAUUUUUUUAUAUCAAGACGUAAAAUUGCUUGUACAAGAAAUAAACUGGAAUAAUAAAAAUAAAAUAAAUAACUUUAGAACGUCAAAUACUAGAGUUACUUUUUAUUUGUCUCAAUAUAUAUGAAUUUUUUAUGAACUUACCUGGUAAAUAUAAAUUUAAAAUUGAAGAUUACGAAGAAGAGGAAGAUGAAGAUGAAGAUGAAGAUGAAGAACAUUUAAAAAGAAGGUUACCAUUAAGUAUUGUUAAUAUAUAUAUAUAUAUAAUAUGAUGUAUGAAGAAAGGAAAUGGUAUUACAACAUAAAUAAAACUUAGAAGACAAAAAUGAAUAAAAAGGUGUAGAACAAAGAGAAGUUUUAAACAUCUUGAGUAUAUCAAAAGAUAUAAGAUAAUUGAAACAGAAAUGUAUACAUAUAUAUGGGUAUGUUAUAAUUAAAUGAAAUCCAGAAAAAACAAAAUGAUGUACUCAAAGAUGUCUUAAAUAAAUAUGGAUAUGCAGAACAGCAUGAUAGUUUUUUUUUUUUUUUUUUUUGUAUAUACCAAUUCAACUAAUGGUUUUAUAUAAGAACAGAACUGACAUUUAAAAGGAAACGUUAAAAUAUAUAUAUCCAUAUAUGAAAGAAGAAGCUUUAUUUUUAAUUUAUUUUUUAUAUAUACCAAUGUCUAAAUGGUUUAUAGAAGAAAUGAACUGAGAUUAAAGUAAAGAAAGCUCAAAAAAAAAAAAAAAAAGGUAUUAUAUAAUAGACGAAGUGUAUUAUGAUGUAUAGAAGAACACAUUAUAAAAACUAUAAUAAGGCAAAUUCAGAACAAAAAAUGCCUCAGAAUUAAGGAAGCCAUAUAAUUCAGAUAGGAUAAUCUGAGAAUUGACAAAACAGAAAAAGGAAAUAAUUAUAUAUAUAUAAUGUGAUAGAGAAAGAAUAACUGUGUAUAAAAGGUUAUUUGCAAUAAGACUUUUUUAAGAUAUGUUAUUAGAUACAUAUAAUAUUGUUAUGCACAGAACAGCAUAUAUGGAAUGUGUAUCGAAAUAUAAAAAGUUCAUAAAGAAAAUUGUAUUGUUAAAUAGAAUCACACAAUAUAUGAUAUUGAAGAAAAACAGAAUGUUAUAAGGAAAAUACACAUAAGCAAUAUAAAUGAAUUGAAGAAAAACAACACAUUUUUGGAAAUUGAGAGAAGAGUAUAUAUUUAGAAAAUUUAUUAUAUUCUAAACCCCAAGAAUAUUAUUGGAAAUUCUAAAUAUAUAUAUAUAUAUAUAUAUUUAUAUAAGCCUUUAUAUAGAUAUGAAAUUUUUUUAUACUAUAUACAAAUCCCCUCAUUGUGUAUAAUAUAAAGAACGUUUUUUAUUUAUAUUGGUAUACAAGAUUCUAUGGAAGAUUAAAUGUUAUGAAGAAAAAUAGUAUAUAUAUUUAAGAAAUAUUGCCCUUAAAAGUUUUAACUUAAUAUUGUUUUGCCAAAACUUUUAAUUUAUUUUUAUAUUUCUUAAAAAAUAUAGUUUUAAUCGUGUGUCUUAAAAGUAUAUAUUGUUAAUCAUGUUUUUUGAAGGAAUAUAGAUUUCUUUUAAUGUCCCUGAAAAGAUUUAAUACGAUCAGUAUUUUUUUGAGGAUAUAGUUUAUUUUGUUGAUGUACUUUUGAAUAUAUAUAGUUUUUUUAAUAUUUUGGAAAGAUUUAAUAUAUAAUCCUUUCACAAUUUUAUAAAGGCACUACAUUAUUUUGUGUUUCUUAGAUUAUAUAAUUUUUUUAAUGUUUUCAUGUUUUUUCAUAAUAAUUUAUGCAUAUAUUUUUUUAGUUUCUACUGUUCACUAAUUCAUUCGUUGAACUUGUUUAUAGUAAAUGUUUUUAUAUAUACAAUAAAAAAAAAAAAAAAAAGUAAAAAAUAAAAAGUAAAAAAUUAAAAAUAAAAAGUAAAAAAUAAAAAGUAAAAAAUUAAAAAUAAAUUAUUCAUAUACAUUAUACUUCUUUUUUGUAUACAUAAUAUUUUAUUAUUAUACAUAAUAUUCUAUUCUUAUACAUAGUCUUUUUUUCUUAUACAUAGAUUUUUUGUUUAUACAUAGUCUUUUUUUCUUAUACAUAGACUUUUAUUGUUAUACAUAGAU
Molecule: small RNA, 2826 nt
Filed under: Plasmodium falciparum NF54
Lineage: Eukaryota; Apicomplexa; Aconoidasida; Haemosporida; Plasmodiidae
Description: Plasmodium RNA of unknown function RUF
Source: RNAcentral